Molecule: ribosomal RNA, 468 nt
Filed under: uncultured bacterium
Lineage: Bacteria
Description: partial 16S ribosomal RNA
Rfam family: Bacterial small subunit ribosomal RNA
Source: RNAcentral
GACGAACGCUGGCGGCGUGCUUAACACAUGCAAGUCGAACGGAAAGGCCCUGCUUUUGUGGGGUGCUCGAGUGGCGAACGGGUGAGUAACACGUGAGUAACCUGCCCUUGACUUUGGGAUAACUUCAGGAAACUGGGGCUAAUACCGGAUAGGAGCUCCUGCUGCAUGGUGGGGGUUGGAAAGUUUCGGCGGUUGGGGAUGGACUCGCGGCUUAUCAGCUUGUUGGUGGGGUAGUGGCUUACCAAGGCUUUGACGGGUAGCCGGCCUGAGAGGGUGACCGGCCAAAUUGGGACUGAAAUACGGCCCAGACUCCUACGGGAGGCAGCAGUGGGGAAUAUUGCACAAUGGGCGGAAGCCUGAUGCAGCAACGCCGCGUGCGGGAUGACGGCCUUCGGGUUGUAAACCGCUUUCGCCUGUGACGAAGCGUGAGUGACGGUAAUGGGUAAAGAAGCACCGGCUAACUACGUG